CUCCAUCGUCGUAGCAGACAUAUCAGUCGGUGUGGUCGCAGUGGCUUUCCUUUAUCGACGGGGAGUGGAGGAUUGCUUCGGAGUCGGGGAGGUUUGAAGUUAUGUUGCUGUUCCUGUCAGCAUUUCAGUCUCAGGGUAAGUCAUCUGCAUCAGCGGAACGAGCGAUGUCGGCCUUGUCUUUUGUUUCUCUUUUUAGGGUGGAGGGAUCUCACAAAAG
Molecule: non-coding RNA, 217 nt
Organism: Pelobates cultripes (western spadefoot toad)
Lineage: Eukaryota; Metazoa; Chordata; Amphibia; Anura; Pelobatidae
Source: the annotation of a GenBank genome assembly